Molecule: ribosomal RNA, 578 nt
Filed under: uncultured bacterium
Lineage: Bacteria
Description: partial 16S ribosomal RNA
Rfam family: Bacterial small subunit ribosomal RNA
Source: RNAcentral
UGGGGAAUUUUGGACAAUGGGCGAAAGCCUGAUCCAGCAAUGCCGCGUGUGUGAAGAAGGCCUUCGGGUUGUAAAGCACUUUUGUCCGGAAAGAAAUCCUUGGCUCUAAUACAGUCGGGGGAUGACGGUACCGGAAGAAUAAGCACCGGCUAACUACGUGCCAGCAGCCGCGGUAAUACGUAGGGUGCAAGCGUUAAUCGGAAUUACUGGGCGUAAAGCGUGCGCAGGCGGUUUGCUAAGACCGGUGUGAAAUCCCCGGGCUCAACCUGGGAACUGCAUUGGUGACUGGCAGGCUAGAGUAUGGCAGAGGGGGGUAGAAUUCCACGUGUAGCAGUGAAAUGCGUAGAGAUGUGGAGGAAUACCGAUGGCGAAGGCAGCCCCCUGGGCCAAUACUGACGCUCAUGCACGAAAGCGUGGGGAGCAAACAGGAUUAGAUACCCUGGUAGUCCACGCCCUAAACGAUGUCAACUAGUUGUUGGGGAUUCAUUCCUUAGUAACGUAGCUAACGCGUGAAGUUGACCGCCUGGGGAGUACGGUCGCAAGAUUAAAACUCAAAGGAAUUGACGGGGUCAUAGCUG